AACGAACGCUGGCGGCAUGCCUAACACAUGCAAGUCGAACGAAGGCUUCGGCCUUAGUGGCGCACGGGUGCGUAACGCGUGGGAAUCUGCCCUUGGGUUCGGAAUAACUCAGAGAAAUUUGAGCUAAUACCGAAUGAUGUCGAAAGACCAAAGAUUUAUCGCCCAAGGAUGAGCCCGCGUAGGAUUAGCUUGUUGGUGAGGUAAAAGCUCACCAAGGCGACGAUCCUUAGCUGGUCUGAGAGGAUGAUCAGCCACACUGGGACUGAGACACGGCCCAGACUCCUACGGGAGGCAGCAGUGGGGAAUAUUGGACAAUGGGCGAAAGCCUGAUCCAGCAAUGCCGCGUGAGUGAUGAAGGCCUUAGGGUUGUAAAGCUCUUUCACCAGGGAUGAUAAUGACAGUACCUGGAGAAUAAGCUCCGGCUAACUCCGUGCCAGCAGCCGCGGUAAAGUACAGUGU
Molecule: ribosomal RNA, 459 nt
Filed under: uncultured bacterium
Lineage: Bacteria
Description: bacterial SSU rRNA
Rfam family: Bacterial small subunit ribosomal RNA
Source: RNAcentral